UACGUAGGGUGCAAGCGUUAAUCGGAAUUACUGGGCGUAAAGCGUGCGCAGGCGGUUAUGCAAGUCAGAUGUGAAAUCCCCGGGCUUAACCUGGGAAUGGCAUUGGUGACUGCACGGCUAGAGUGUGUCAGAGGGGGGUAGAAUUCCACGUGUAGCAGUGAAAUGCGUAGAGAUGUGGAGGAAUACCGAUGGCGAAGGCAGCCCCCUGGGAUAACACUGACGCUCAUGCACGAAAGCGUGGGGAGCAAACAGG
Molecule: ribosomal RNA, 253 nt
Filed under: uncultured bacterium
Lineage: Bacteria
Description: partial 16S ribosomal RNA
Rfam family: Bacterial small subunit ribosomal RNA
Source: RNAcentral